RNAcentral lists this ribosomal RNA (252 nucleotides) under Triticum aestivum (bread wheat). Its description in RNAcentral is "partial small subunit ribosomal RNA". Lineage: Eukaryota; Viridiplantae; Streptophyta; Magnoliopsida; Poales; Poaceae. The record is from RNAcentral.
AUGGCCAAGGCUCGCGUACUCCGCUGUGCGGUGCUGAUGGUGUGCGCGCUCCUAGUUCUCUCGUCCGAGGCGGCUGGCCGGCAAAGGGGUCAUGGGAGAGAGGCCACGGCGGCGCCGGCAGCGAUGGCAAUGGCGAGAGGGCGUUUUGUCACGAAGGUGCUGCGGGAGGAGAUGGUUCAGGCGAAUGGCCAGGGUGGCAUUGGCGAGUCUAAGAGGACCAGUCCGGGCGGCCCAGACCCGCAGCAUCAUUAG